Molecule: long non-coding RNA, 3113 nt
Organism: Pezoporus flaviventris
Lineage: Eukaryota; Metazoa; Chordata; Aves; Psittaciformes; Psittacidae
Exons: 3
Source: RefSeq, a predicted model, not a curated record
UAUGAAAUAUUUCCUCAAUGGAGGCAUUUACCAAAGCCUCUGUAGGACUUCCACGAGUCCAUGAAAGCCAAGUCUUCUGUAAAUUUUCAUGUUAAUUUACAUAGAUGUUUUAAAAAAAGGAGUAAUGGAAUUUCAAAGCUCAUAUACAUUAAUUUUCCAUCCAGCAGAAUAACUUUGGCGAUCUUCAGUGAAAACCACCUCUGCAAGCAGAGUGUGGCUGAACAAGAACUAGCAUAAUGGAAAGUUUAAUUUCCAAAAUAUCAUAAAGUUGCAGGAGUAGUGAAGGAAGUGAACAUUACUUGCACUUAUGGUACACUCAUUUCUGCCUUUAUUAAUGUGAAUCUGUGUUUUCCUUUUACACUGCUAUUUGUAUAAAUGAAAUUCACCAUGACAUUGAAAACUGGAUUAAAAUGUUCCUUUUGUUUCUGCUUUUGGGUCUUUUAUAGAUUAAACUAUGUUUUAAUGUUGCUAUUAUAAAUGUUUAUGAUGGGUAAUACUAUACAUGGGCCUAGUCCAACUCCCACUUAACUCGGUGGAAAGAUUCCUUUGAUGUUGAUUGGAGAUGGAUUAGGCGAUCAAUAUGUCUUGCUGUUUAUAUACAUUAGUGUACAAAAGUGUUAAUGCUUUAUGAAUUAGCAAAGAUAUUACCACCCGAAUUCUCAGUGUACAUGUAUUACCCAAAACAAGUAGUUCCAUGAGCAGUGGAAUUAAUGAAGCCUCUUUUUCCGUGAUUCGUAGCUGAGGUGAAUUUCCAUGUGGAUUCCAUGGUUGCACUCAUACUGCAGCCUUUCCUGCCAGGAGAGCAACGUCUGAGUCCCUCUCAACCUCCCUGGCUGCUUAUUUUCAUGAGAUUCGUAGAAAAUAAGUACAGAUGAGUCUUCUAGCUCUCUGCUGAAUUUAGCUAAAAGCAGCUAACGGAUUUACUAGGGGCUGGCAGAUAGGUGACACAGAAGCAUACAAAUACUGCAGUUACAAGCUACAUUCCUGUGGAAACUGGACUGAAAGUAAAGGAAUGCACACACUGGACUUUGUAUCAUCAGACUUCGAUAAUAUCCUAAAGGAACAGUUAAUAAGAAACCACAAACAUAGAUUUAAAAGGAGUAAGAAGUAAUCUGAGUUUUAAUAAGCAACACAGAAAGCUCAGUUAUCCCCACAAGGACAGCGAGGCAUUGCAUAACCUCAUGACUUCGCAGGGGAGGUUUCUUGUUCCAGUGAGACCUUGACGCUUCCUGGAACUUCCCACAGUACAGGCGGUAUUUGAAAUAUUUAUGAUACUUCUACAUGCAUUUGGGAGCAGGUGGCUCCUCCAAGAAUUAAGACUUGCUUUGUAAGCCAGAGCAGGUGAACAGACCUUGGCUUGGUUCCUUCCUCUGUACUUUGAAGCACUAGAGGAGUCACAACAGUAAAGGCAAAACAAGAACUGCAGCUAUGACUGCUUUCAGCUCUUGACAGGACUGAUAAAACCAAUUUCUGAAAGAAAUCUGAAUCAUUUGUACUUUCUCUCCAGAAGCAGGAAUGUUCAUCUGAUAGGAUAUGAUCUCUCUUUGCCAUCUAGAAUGCAUGAUGGAAUCCUGUUUAGCUGUGUUUAAAUGUAUUAGUGAAAGUAUAAAGACAACUAGAAAAAUUAUGAAGUGCCAAAAUAAACAAAUUAACUUUAAUUAGAAAAAAUUCUGAAGCAAGGCUUCAAGUGCAAUUUAGGACAUCACACAGAGAAAAUAAGAUACAAAAGACAGGCAUGGAACUGUGGGAAUGAAACUGUGAAUCAGCAAGGUACAGAACUACAGUGCAAAUAUUUCAAACAGGAAGUGCUGCAGCAAAGUCCUGGUGAGCUAAUUACUUUUUUACUUUCUGGAUGAACAUAAUUUUAGGCCUGUUUUAAUAGAUUCACAAAUAAUCUGGGAAUAGCAUUAGCAGUUCAGAGCAUCUUCCAUUAUUAAAGUUAGGAAUCAGUAGCUGCAUACUAAGCAAGUUUUGAUAUCUGAAAGGAAUACCUCAUGUAUUUAUAAAAUUCUGGCUUGAUUACAAUGUAAGGUGGUAUUUUUUUCUUGGACAAAAUUUCAGACAUGGAAGGUAAAAUAGAGAAGCUUUCUUUGUUGAAGCCUAAGCCUUUGAUUUUUGUGAGAGGUCUGUAAGUAUGUAGAGUAUCUCAGGUCAGAGAAGAGGCUGGAACAGAGAUGAAAUUCUGGAUUGAUUGGAGGGCAUAAUACAUAUGAUAAAAUAUAACCACUUCCAUGACAUAGAGUUCAAAUGGCCUUAUAUCACUGGUUGCUUGAAACAAGUAAUAACGACAAACCAAGAAAGGAGCAGCAAGUGCAAACAAAAUAAGAUUUACCAAAACCAAAGCAAGGUCUCUCUAGGUUUUUUAUUUCUCAGCCUAUGAUAAAUAUAGCAGGCUUCUGGUAAUAAUGCUUAAAAAAUACUCUAUUGUCAUUCUGAGAAAAAAACAACUCCAAAAAAAACUUGGACUGUCUAAAGCAGUUUGAAAUGAAUCAGCUAGCAUUCACAUUUUGGAUCAGUUCACAAAAAUGUUGACAAGCUCUGAAUUCUAGCAAGUUUCUGAUUUGACGGAUUUGGGUCUUUGCACUGAGUUUAGAUGGGUUACAGACUGAAGCCUGUUUCUGUUUUUGUGGCCAUCUGAAUUGGUUGUUGCUAUUGUCCUUGCAGCUCUCACAUUUACAUCGAGAAGGGUAAAAAAUGCAAGGCUGUGAAUUGAGGAAAAAACAGGCAAGCUAACUUUUCUAGGCUGCAAAGGGGGCAAUAGCUUAAACAUGAGCCUGGUGUAAUAAUUCAGGCAUUAAGAUUAUUCAGUGAAAGAAUAGUCAAAAAGAGAUGUAUAUCUGUAUGAAGGUUUUAAUAGGACUUUUAAUAAUAACAAGAAUACAAUAAUAACAAUAACAACAACAACCGAAUAACAACAGUUACACUGAACAGCUGCCUGGAAGGUGUAGGGCACUCACAUGGCCCAGCUUUGGCAACUGGCCUGGAUAAAAACACCUCUAAGAUAAGGAAGAGUGAUGAUAUGUAUGGAGUACUCAAACCUGCUAGGAUGUCUACUCCGAUACGACCAUCUGGGAUUUACAGAGAGACUUUUGAAACAUAGUCAGCCUGAAAAG